RNAcentral lists this non-coding RNA (219 nucleotides) under Clostridium acetobutylicum. RNAcentral describes it as "T-box sequence". It matches the Rfam family "T-box leader". From Rfam's summary of the family: Uncharged tRNA acts as the effector for transcription antitermination of genes in the T-box leader family. Lineage: Bacteria; Bacillati; Bacillota; Clostridia; Eubacteriales; Clostridiaceae. The record is from RNAcentral.
AUAAAAACAUUGAAAGAGAGAGUAAAUAUAAUGAGACUUUAAGAGAGAAAAGGUUAAUGGCUGGAAGCCUUUUUAAGUUUGAGUUAUAUUGAAGUUCACUCUGGAGUUCCAUUUGCGAAAUGUGAGUCUUACAAAUUAGUAAAUGGCGGUUACAUAUCGUUAAAAUUUUGAGUGGGUUAUCCAAUUUGGGUGGUACCGCGGAAAUUCUCCGUCCCUUUU